RNAcentral lists this ribosomal RNA (394 nucleotides) under uncultured bacterium. RNAcentral describes it as "partial 16S ribosomal RNA". It matches the Rfam family "Bacterial small subunit ribosomal RNA", at positions 523 to 918 of the family's 1533-position model. The record is from RNAcentral.
ACACGUAGGGGGCGAGCGUUGUUCGGAAUCAUUGGGCGUAAAGGGCGUGCAGGCGGUCCUGCAAGUCCGGCGUGAAAGACCCCGGCCCAACCGGGGGGACGCGCUGGAAACUGCAGGGCUUGAGUACAGGAGGGGAUGCCGGAAUUCCAGGUGUAGGGGUGAAAUCUGUAGAUAUCUGGAAGAACACCAAUGGCGAAGGCAGGCAUCUGGCCAUGUACUGACGCUGAGACGCGAAGGUGCGGGGAGCAAACAGGUUUAGAUACCCUGGUAGUCCGCACAGUAAACGAUGUGCACCAGGUGGCGGGGGGUCGACCCCUGGUACCGUAGCUAACGCAUUAAGUGCACCGCCUGGGGAGUAUGCUCGCAAGGGUGAAACUCAAAGGAAUUGACGGGG